This 73-nucleotide transfer RNA is filed under the name Myotis lucifugus (little brown bat). It matches the Rfam family "tRNA". From Rfam's summary of the family: Transfer RNA (tRNA) molecules are approximately 80 nucleotides in length. Their secondary structure includes four short double-helical elements and three loops (D, anti-codon, and T loops). The record is from Rfam by way of RNAcentral. Lineage: Eukaryota; Metazoa; Chordata; Mammalia; Chiroptera; Vespertilionidae.
ACCCAUUUGGCUCAGUGGGUAGAGCGUCAGCCUGCGGACUGAAAGGUUCCGGGUUCGAUUCCGGUCAAGGGCA